AGUGAACGCUGGCGGCGUGCUUAACACAUGCAAGUCGAACGGUAGCAGAUAGAAGCUUGCUUCUAUGCUGACGAGUGGCGCACGGGUGAGUAAUGUAUAGCUAACGUGCCCCUUAGGGGGGGAUAACAGCUGGAAAAGGCUGUUAAUACCCCAUACUCAUUCUAUCUUACUUAUAGUUGGGAAAUAGUUUUUCGCUAAGGGAUCGGGCUAUAUGGUAUCAGCUAGUGGGUGAGGUAAUGGCUCACCAAGGCAAUGACACCUAGCUGGUCUGAGAGGAUGAUCAGCCACACUGGAACUGAGACACGGUCCAGACUCCUACGGGAGGCAGCAGCGGGGAAUAUUGCACAAUGGGGGGAACCCUGAUGCAGCAACGCCGCGUGGAGGAUGACACAUUUCGGUGCGUAAACUCCGUUUAUAUAGGAAGAUAAUGACGGUACUAUAUGAAUAAGCACCGGCUAACUCCGUGCCAGCCGCCGCAGUAA
This 482-nucleotide ribosomal RNA is filed under the name uncultured bacterium. Its description in RNAcentral is "partial 16S ribosomal RNA". It matches the Rfam family "Bacterial small subunit ribosomal RNA", at positions 29 to 523 of the family's 1533-position model. The record is from RNAcentral.